RNAcentral lists this ribosomal RNA (580 nucleotides) under uncultured bacterium. Its description in RNAcentral is "bacterial SSU rRNA". It matches the Rfam family "Bacterial small subunit ribosomal RNA", at positions 338 to 916 of the family's 1533-position model. The record is from RNAcentral.
CCUACGGGAGGCAGCAGUAAGGAAUAUUGGUCAUGCCCGGAAGGGUGAACCAGCCAUGCCGCGUGCAGGAUGACGGCCCUAUGGGUUGUAAACUGCUUUUGGAUAGGAAGAAUGGAUUGUAUUGAUAUGAUUUUGACGGUACUAUCAGAAUAAGCCCCGGCUAACUACGUGCCAGCAGCCGCGGUAAUACGUAGGGGGCUAGAGUUGUCCGGAUUUACUGGGUGUAAAGGGUGCUCAGGCGGAUUUGUAAGUCAGAGGUGAAAUCCCAAAGCUUAACUUUGGAGCUGCCUUUGAUACUGCAAGUCUUGAGUGUGAGAGAGGGUAAUGGAAUAUCUGGUGUAGCAGUGAAAUGCGUAGAUAUCAGAUAGAACACCAAUGGCGAAGGCAGUUACCUGGCUCAAUACUGACGCUAAAGCACGAAAGUGUGGGGAGCAAACAGGAUUAGAUACCCUGGUAGUCCACACCCUAAACGAUGAAUACUAGAUGUUGGUCCUUUUCAGGGUCAGUAUCCAAGCUMACGCAUUAAGUAUUCCAGCCUGGGAAGUACAAUCGCAAGGUUGAAACUCAAAGGAAUUGACGG